Molecule: transfer RNA, 75 nt
Filed under: Dascyllus trimaculatus (three spot damselfish)
Lineage: Eukaryota; Metazoa; Chordata; Actinopteri; Pomacentridae
Also listed under: 1 other name
Description: tRNA-Val
Rfam family: tRNA
About the family: Transfer RNA (tRNA) molecules are approximately 80 nucleotides in length.
Source: RNAcentral
CAGGGUGUAGCUAAGCACAGAUAAAGUAUCUCCCUUACACUGAGAAGUCGCCCGUGCAAACCGGGCCGCCCUGAC